This 62-nucleotide transfer RNA is filed under the name Mutela dubia. RNAcentral's name for it is "tRNA-His". The record is from RNAcentral. Lineage: Eukaryota; Metazoa; Mollusca; Bivalvia; Unionida; Mutelidae.
GACGAAGUAGUUUUAUAGAAUAGCAGGUUGUGGUCCUGACGGAGCUUAUCAGGCCUUUGUCG